GCCGCGGUAAUACGGAGGGUGCAAGCGUUAAUCGGAAUUACUGGGCGUAAAGCGCGCGUAGGUGGCUUGAUAAGCCGGUUGUGAAAGCCCCGGGCUCAACCUGGGAACGGCAUCCGGAACUGUCAGGCUAGAGUGCAGGAGAGGAAGGUAGAAUUCCCGGUGUAGCGGUGAAAUGCGUAGAGAUCGGGAGGAAUACCAGUGGCGAAGGCGGCCUUCUGGACUGACACUGACACUGAGGUGCGAAAGCGUGGGUAGCAAACAGGAUUAGAUACCCUGGUAGUCCACGCCGUAAACGAUGUCGACCAGCCGUUGGGUGCCUAGCGCACUUUGUGGCGAAGUUAACGCGAUAAGUCGACCGCCUGGGGAGUACGGCCGCAAGGUUAAAACUCAAAUGAAUUGACGGGGGCCCGCACAAGCGGUGGAGCAUGUGGUUUAAUUCGAUGCAACGCGAAGAACCUUACCUACCCUUGACAUCCUGCGAACCCGGAAGAGAUUCCGGGGUGCCUUCGGGAACGCAGAGACAGGUGCUGCAUGGCUGUCGUCAGCUCGUGUUGUGAAAUGUUGGGUUAAGUCCCGUAACGAGCGCAACCCUUGUCCUUAUUUGCCAGCGAGUAAUGUCGGGAACUCUAAGGAGACUGCCGGUGACAAACCGGAGGAAGGUGGGGACGACGUCAAGUCAUCAUGGCCCUUACGGGUAGGGCUACACACGUGCUACAAUGGCCGGUCCAAAGGG
RNAcentral lists this ribosomal RNA (733 nucleotides) under uncultured Halomonas sp. Its description in RNAcentral is "bacterial SSU rRNA". It matches the Rfam family "Bacterial small subunit ribosomal RNA", at positions 514 to 1246 of the family's 1533-position model. The record is from RNAcentral. Lineage: Bacteria; Pseudomonadati; Pseudomonadota; Gammaproteobacteria; Oceanospirillales; Halomonadaceae.